UGAAUUAUAGCUCAGUUGGUUAGAGCAUGGUGCUGAUAACACCAAGGUUGCAGGUUCAAUCCCCAAACAGGAUGGCUGCAUAUUCCU
This is a non-coding RNA of Podarcis lilfordi (Lilford's wall lizard), 87 nucleotides long. NCBI's taxonomy places the organism in Eukaryota, Metazoa, Chordata, Lepidosauria, Squamata, Lacertidae. The record is from the annotation of a GenBank genome assembly.